GAGAACCCUAGUGGAUUUGGCAAUGUUGG
This 29-nucleotide non-coding RNA is filed under the name Mus musculus (house mouse). The record is from RNAcentral. Lineage: Eukaryota; Metazoa; Chordata; Mammalia; Rodentia; Muridae.